CCCGCCCCCCUGCGGGCCGUGCCCUGCGGAAGGACGCGCAUGCGCAGCUCCGCUGCCCCGCAGAGCGGUGGGUGAGGGGGCGGCUGCCGUGAGGCGCUGGGGCCGCUCGCGCGGGUGGGCGAGCGCCGCUACGACGGGCAGGGAGCCCCGCAGCAGCGAGCGGGAAGCGUGCGGAGGGGGAAAGCGGCGUUGUUCUCCUCCCAGCGCUGCCCUGACGGGCGCCCUGCAGCCCUUCGCCACGCCCUCUGCCGUGGCGUGAGGUGGAAAGCCCGGGGAGGCAGCUCGGUACCCACGGCGCGGCUGAAUCUGCAGCGUAAUAGCCCACCUACAGACUGACUUGACUUAGGGCUUCGUGAGCAGGGGCUGUGACUCGAGGUUCAGAUGUAGCGGUCCGAACGCCGCUGAUGCGGGAAGGGGAAAGGAGGUGGCAGCCCGGGCUCUGUCCCUCCGCCUCGCCCUGCGAAGUGCCGGCGCUGCCUCUGGGAGCGGCGCUGUGGCAGCCGCGUGCCGCAGGGAGAGCGGACGGCGGCUCCCCUCCUCACGCAGCUGCCGCGCUCGGACGCGGCUGUGCCCUGUGGCAGCUCCUGCGUUAGCUGCCUGAGUGCCGUUGGUAGCGGUGAGCCGGCUCAGAUCCCAAGGGCAAGAAGCAGAGGACUCGGCAGCCCCUUUCAAUGACAGUGAAGGGUGGCGUCGGCCUGCCGUCGCCCUGAUACUGAAGGCAUCGCGUUACACUGCGGUGCAAGCUGCCGUUGGGACAGGCGAUGCCUUUCUGCCCGUGCUGUCACGUACCCGGUCCUUCCCUCUCUUCCGCUCCAGCUGGUGUUGCUUUGACCUUGUGCAAACGCUUCAGGGAGAUCGUUCUUUUUUCUUUUGCGCUGAUAGCCGUCGUGUCAUGAAGGCUCCACAUGGUUCCAGGACGAGGCAGUCCGGCUGGCUGACUAGCUUACCUCAUUAGUGCUAGCGCUGCGGAUGGGUGAGACCGCGGGAGCUCCACGUAGUCCCUUCACUGGGCUGCGAGGUUAAGGCAGGUUUAAACUCUCAAUACAGGAGCUGCACCUCCCAGCAGGAGAACCGCUCCUCCUGCUGCAGUUUCACAGCAGUUUAAACCAAACGAACUUGGUGCUACAGUGGUCUCGUUUGCUUCUCGCGAAUCCUCUUUCCAAGGAGUUGUGUGCAGUCUUUCCCACCGAUGUCUGUGUGACCUCGCACAAUAAGCGAUCAACGUCCACGGGCGCGGGGGAAGGCAUGAGCACAAGCAGCCCUUUGUCGAUUUUGGUGUGAGCUAACAAAUUUGGCAUCCCAUCCUUGCUUGGUCUGUAGGCACUGAAGUAAUAGGGACGAUUUAAAAGGCUAUAGGUACUUUUGAAAUAGAAAUGUGUGUGUUAUACUUUGAGUUUAUUAUACUUUUUCCCAAAGAUUAUAAGCUUCUCAGCUUGUUUUCACAGCUGGAUUUCCCUACACACAUACAAGGCGCUGUGACUUUGGACGAAGCUAAAUACUUGUCCUGUGUGUUCAAUGCCAUUUACUAAGAAUAGUGUCAGUUUAAAAGGUAAAUUUUUUACUGUGAGUUUCAGAAGUAGCUGCUGAGCUAAUAGGAUUGGCUAAAGAGAAAGUAACUGAGUAGAUCACGUUGGACUCUUGGAAUAACAAGAGCUGUAAACAGUUUCAGUUCAGCAGACAAACUUUCCAAAAAAAUUCCCCUAGGAAAUUAAAAAUUCACGUUUAGUUACAGUCCAAGUUAAUGUCAGUCUCUUAAGAUGGAAAAUCCUAAGUAAGUCAAUAAGUGGGGGGAAUCCCAUAGCGCAAGCUUCUCUGAAUUUCCCUAUUUCCCUUGAUUAAAUGCAAAUACACUGAUAAGGUCAUCUAAUGAGCUGUGAAUGGCACUGAAACCGAGGGGAAGGGUGAAGUAUAAUAAGGUACGAACUUGAAAUGUUGAAAAUAUUUUGUCAACUCCAAGACAACAUCACAAAGCUAUGUGAAGUGCAAAAAGUCAUGCUGGGAUAUGCAGACAUCCCCUCCCUUCCCCGCCCCCCCCCAGUUCUUGUAAGAAGCACUUAUUUAGAAAACGUAGGAGGAAAUAUUUUUUACAGCCUUGCUACAAAAUCAGAGGACUGAACUACUGUAUUUCAUUCUAUCACUGCUGGCCAGCAACACUGCUGGCAAUACUGGAUGGACAUUGCUGAUGGCCUUUUUGCUGCUGAAGUGUUGCUCGUGGCAUUUUCUUUUGAAGUCCUAGCACUGAACUUUUUCUGGAGACAAAGAAAACCAUGGUCCAGUUUUUCUCUCUGCCAACAAACAGUAAUUUCAUUUGGCAAGUAGAGCUUUUGGAUAUGCUUUUCUUUUUUUGGUAAGGCAGGAGCAGCAUUCCAGCAUUGCAUCUAGAGUAGCCUCCAGAUCAGACAAAGGACGUGGUUCUGCCCUUAGAUGUUUGCACAGAGCCCUGGUGGACAUUAUUCCCAGGGAUGUAGGCUUGGCUCCAAGAAGAAGGCGUUUUCAUUCAAGCCAAAGAUCUCCUAAAGCCUCUUAUGCUAGGCUAAGGAGAUUGCUUCCUUUGGAAUGCAAUCUUCUUUAUGAUAGGGAAGCAUGUGAGGGUAAAUCCACUCUGGUGUAUUGGUAACAAUGCGUAGUACUUUGCAGAGCAAUUAAGCCCCAUAAUUGAAUGCAGAAUCAAAAUUUCCUUCAGUCUUCUGGGUAUGGCUGGCCAGCAAUGGGAGCAAUUACAGCAGGAGCUGAGGUAAAUGACACUAAUCCAAUGAGGCCCGUUUCCAACCUCAGCUGCACACCAAACCUGUUUCCACGCCCCUACUCCCCACUCCACACAAGUGAGCGGCACAAUUAUUGCAUGGAAUGUCCUGUUCUGAAAAGGGCAGGAAUUGUGCUGGGAAAUAGGCUGGAAAGGGAGAAUGCUGCACUCGCUUCGUCCCUUUGGCUGAUGAGGACGUGUGUUUGGGAGCCCUUCUGCCCUUUCCUUUCCCAGCAGUACCUCCAGCAGGCUGAGGCCUGCGCCCAGCCCCAUUGCCAGCUCCCACAGUGGGACUGUCAGUCACUGCAACAGGUAGGCUGCUUUCCCACACCGACUUCUGACAAAUCCUUCCCAUACAGAAGAUGUAAUCCCGUUGGUGAAGGAACCAUGAAAAUCCCUUAAGAACCCCUUGAUUUAAAGGUCUCUUUAUCACAGAUCAGAAGCACGGGCCUUAAUGAUAAAAAUAGAGUGAAUUUAAGCAUGAAUCAUGCAGAAGGUUCCAGUAAAUUACAAAUGACACUGCCUCAGCUUGCACUGGAGAAAUCCAUGAGAAAGUUGUCCUCACAUUCCUGCCACGUUCCUCAGCAGUAGUCGCAGUGCUCCUGCACCGUGCUCCAGCUGGGCAGCUCCAGGCAGCACCGGGAUGGGGCCUUGGAUGGUGCCCAUACAUUGCAUGGUAGUGUGUGCUGGUACACCCCGUGUGCUUGUACGCGUUUAUAGGCUGCAGAUCAGAGUGCCCAGGCUUUUCUUAAUGCUGUCAGGAGUAAAACAGUGUUGCACUGUGCCAUCUGAAGCAGAACUGUGUCACCGUUUUGGCUGCUGUCCAUGUUGUACGGGUAUUUAUUGUAUACCUUUUCUUACCUUCAUGGUAAAAGGAUGAUGUGUAUCUUUUAAAGGUGAUUUUAUCACUGUUGAUAACUUCUAAGAAUGGUUUGAAUAUCCCCCCUCCAAGGAGAGUAUCAGAAUAAUGGAGAAUAAUUCUGACUGUAAAUGGAUGAGGACAGUAAGGGAGAUUCUUCUGGUGAUGUUGCAAUAUCUGUAGCAAGUUGGUAAAUAUAAUAAUAAUAAUAAAAAAAAAAUAGUUAAAGCCCAUUUUGUCACCAGGCCUUACAGAUACAACUACCUGUAACUGUCAAACCCGUACUCAGUGCCUUCUAACUUUUGCUACAUUUGGGCUUCUGCCACAGAUGAAGUUACACAUUUACUAGAGGUCAUUUUCAUACGCCUGUUUAUGAGAUGGUCGAAAGUUGCAAUUAUUAGUCUUAUGUAACAUGUAAUUAUUUUUCUGAUAUAUACUAAAUGGAUUUGGUUGCAGAAAUGGGGGAGGGCGUGCAGACUGAUGCCUGGUUGCUGGAUUACUCCAAGGCAUUAAUUCAUUCCUUAUGGUCAAAUACGUUCCAACAUGUAGAUGCUUCAAUUACAUAACUAAUCCCAAUAAACCUUUCAUGAAUCAUUUGCUAAUUUUCUUGAUGUGUGUGAUACAGAGAAAGAAGAAUAAAUCCAAAGGUAAUGAAAAACAGUAACAGCAAACACAGAUCAAGGAUACAGUGUCAGAGCUAACCCUUAAGCAGCCAUUUCUCUUUUAUCAUGUUAACCUGUGACAUCCUCUGCAGUUUUCCAAAGCGAUCCUGCUUAGCUCUGUCCUCUGUGCCAUUUUUGCACAUGGCAGAGGUAUUUAUUUGUCUCUAGUGGUAGAGAUAGAAUCAUAGAAUCAUAGAAUCGCUAAGGUUGGAAAAGACCCACAGGAUCAUCCAGUCCAACCAUUCGCCCUUCACCAAUGGUUCUCGCUAAACCAUGUCCCUCAACACAACAUCCAAACGCUCUUUGAACACCACCAGGCUCGGUGACUCCACCACCUCUCUGGGCAGCCCAUUCCAGUGCCUGACCACCCUUUCAGAGAAGUAGUAUUUCCAAGAUUCCAGAUACCUGACUGUCAUUUGUCAGAGGGUGGUCGCCUCUCUUGUGCAGCUGGUUACUUUGCUAGGCCUUGACCGAUUUUGCUGUUCCAUCUGUAAAUCUCUGCAACACGCCUGCAUUGUGUGGGAUACAGUUGUGUCAUGUCGCUGCAUAGUAAUGUUUUGAGAAAAUCUGUGACACGAUAGCUCAUCAUAAUAGUCCAUCAAUAGAAAUGUUUCUACCUUGUUAAAUGUAAGAAAUUGAUCAAACUUUUAUUUAAAAUACUCACAAGAGUAUUUUCAAUGUAGAUGCAAUUCCCUUACUGCUGACAUCCUACUGUUUCUACAGCAGCAUGGAGGAACUGGAAAAAGAUUCAAAGUACUUGACUCAUCUGACCUGAAAAGUGAAAACCAGUCAGCACACAGUGUACUGCACAGCAGUAUCAAGGGACGUAUGUAGCUGGGUAUAUUUUGGCCUUGGACUGGCAAAAUCUCUACUCUUGCCAAACAAGUCAUGGCACUUUUAUCAUCUGUGUGAAACUUGCAAGACAGCAAAUGUGCUGAACAGUGUGAGACAAAGUGUCUUUUGCUCAUCCUGGUAAUGCCAGCACGCCUGCAGACCGUGCCCACAUCUGUACAGAGCAGGCACUUCUUGCUGCUUGGAGUUAGGUGAAAGGAAAGGGAAAAGAUGUGUGUUGCCUCUGGUUUGGCUUUUGUUUUCCUCCCUGCAGUGCAAGCCCUUGCUAUCAAUAGGACCAGAUUCAGCCAUCAGUUAUUACUUGAACAAUUCCUACUGACCAGGAUUGAUCAAGAGAGGUUUUCUCACAUAUGCAGUCUGCAGGAAUCUUCCUCAGUAAGAACUCAGGAGGAGCACGACUGGCUUGGAAAAAGAACCUCAGGACAUCUUCCCUUCCCCCACAUCCCCACCUCCUGGGAAUAGAUGCAGAUCUGCUGCGACAGGGACUGAAGCAGCAGCCACAGAUCCUGCACUUUUCAUGUGCAACGCGGUGAAGUCACAGGGACUGGCUGCUGUGGCUCCUGGGAGAGAGGCUGAGUCAUGAUCUGUGCUACCUCUGCACCCAGGGAGUGCGGAGGAUGCUUCUGAGGAUGCAGAUGAUGCGCUGCUUUCCUGUGGCUGGAGUUCAAGGUGUGCUGGUGGUUUGUCCAGAGCUGAAGUGAAUCAUACCCUUUUAGAAUGAAAUGGAAAAUGAGGUAACAGCCACGAUUGCAGCUAUGAAAGUAACAGUGCUAUAAAUCAGGCAAAAGGCAGAUUCUGGAUCCAGUGGGUCACCAAGAGCUUGGAUCUUCCAGUGCUGGCAUGCGGUUCUGAGGUCCUCCCUUGUGUCUUGUGGAUGGCGUGGUGAGCACAGCAAACAAAGGCUGAACAUCCCACCUGUGUGGCAGAAUUUCUGAAGAAGUACGUCGCGGAUGAAGGCACGCACAGAUGGUGCAGGCUGCAGCACAGUCCUGUUGGCUGUACGUUGUCCAGGCAGUGUUGCUCUUGAGAACAGAUCAGCCCAGGCCUUCUGAUCAUGUGUGCUGCUGGGCACUGCCAGGAGGAUGCACUGCUGGCUUCAUCGGGUUGCUCUCUCAGUGCCUGGGCUAUGCAGGCAGGAACAGUAGGCAGUGCAGAGUUGGGGCUUUUGGCAGUGCACGAUGUGACUAUAUGCUGCAGCUGAGGCCACAGAACCUGUACCACAGAAUAGAGUUGCAGGAAGACUCCAUAACUUCCCUGUCAAGACAUGCUCAGUGCAGGAAGAUCCAAGAACACCAUUAUCAUGAAAAGGUUUUUCUGAGCCGUAAUUGCUUCUGGUAGCCCAUGUAGACAAAUACUGAAUACAACCAAUACUUUUCCAUGAAGAAGCACCCCCCACUGAACCACAGCACAGACAGCAUCACACAGGACUACACCACUACGGUGGUUAUGUAAUCUUUGCUUGAAUCCAGACUGUCUUCAUCGACUUUAAAAUGUGUCUGCAAUCUCUCUUUACCAGCAUAUGGCUCUCGGCAGGUGUUUUGCCUGAAGAGUUAUACAGCAGUGAGCUGUCUGAGGGUAAUCAAGCCAAAGCUCAUCAUAUGGUUUCAGUAGAAAUCUGUUCCUGAUAGUUUAAAUAUUUUCCAGCUUUAAUUAAUUAAGUUGAACUGCCUUUACUCACCCCUAUUUAACAUACCCCCGUUAUAAUUUAAUUGCAGAUUUACUUUCUUUCCAUGACCACUAAAUAGCAGUUGGUUUUAUGAGCCUUGUUUUAAUCCCACACUGAUGAAAGUCCAUUAGACAAUAAAAUCUGACUUCAUUUCAGA
Gallus gallus (chicken) is the source of this 6939-nucleotide long non-coding RNA. RefSeq lists it as uncharacterized. The record is from RefSeq and is a predicted model, not a curated record. Lineage: Eukaryota; Metazoa; Chordata; Aves; Galliformes; Phasianidae. The transcript is spliced from 3 exons.